This 744-nucleotide ribosomal RNA is filed under the name uncultured bacterium. Its description in RNAcentral is "bacterial SSU rRNA". It matches the Rfam family "Bacterial small subunit ribosomal RNA", at positions 8 to 796 of the family's 1533-position model. The record is from RNAcentral.
AGAGUUUGAUCAUGGCUCAGAGCGAACGCUGGCGGCAGGCUUAACACAUGCAAGUCGAACGGACGCAGCAAUGCGUCAGUGGCAGACGGGUGAGUAACACGUGGGAACGUGCCCUUCGGUUCGGAACAACCCAGGGAAACUUGGGCUAAUACCGGAUACGUCCGCAAGGAGAAAGAUUUAUCGCCGAAGGAUCGGCCCGCGUCUGAUUAGCUUGUUGGUGAGGUAAUGGCUCACCAAGGCGACGAUCAGUAGCUGGUCUGAGAGGAUGAUCAGCCACACUGGGACUGAGACACGGCCCAGACUCCUACGGGAGGCAGCAGUGGGGAAUAUUGGACAAUGGGCGAAAGCCUGAUCCAGCCAUGCCGCGUGAGUGAUGAAGGCCUUAGGGUUGUAAAGCUCUUUCGGCGGGGAAGAUAAUGACGGUACCCGCAGAAGAAGCCCCGGCUAACUUCGUGCCAGCAGCCGCGGUAAUACGAAGGGGGUUAGCGUUGCUCGGAAUCACUGGGCGUAAAGCGCACGUAGGCGGAUUGUUAAGUCAGGGGUGAAAUCCUGGAGCUCAACUCCAGAACUGCCUUUGAUACUGGCGAUCUUGAGUCCGGGAGAGGUGAGUGGAAUUGCGAGUGUAGAGGUGAAAUUCGUAGAUAUUCGCAAGAACACCAGUGGCGAAGGCGGCUCACUGGCCCGGUACUGACGCUCAGGUGCGAAAGCGUGNNNNNCAAACAGGAUUAGAUACCCUAGUAGUCC